CGGUUAGUAAGUUGGUCAUGCCUCUGGUAUGUACUGAUCUCACUGAUUCCUCCUUCCUGAUGAGCCGUAAUGCCAUUAAUUUGGUGUUGCGGGGAAUCAGGACUGUUACUUUGAAAAAAUUAGAGUGUUUAAAGCAGGCUCACGCUUGAAUACAUUAGCAUGGAAUAAUGAAAUAGGACGUUUGAUCCUAUUUUGUUGGUUUCUAGGAUUGACGUA
RNAcentral lists this ribosomal RNA (216 nucleotides) under Campeiostachys nutans. Its description in RNAcentral is "Elymus nutans partial small subunit ribosomal RNA". It matches the Rfam family "Eukaryotic small subunit ribosomal RNA", at positions 651 to 864 of the family's 1831-position model. Lineage: Eukaryota; Viridiplantae; Streptophyta; Magnoliopsida; Poales; Poaceae. The record is from RNAcentral.